This 1186-nucleotide unclassified non-coding RNA is filed under the name Hevea brasiliensis (rubber tree). Lineage: Eukaryota; Viridiplantae; Streptophyta; Magnoliopsida; Malpighiales; Euphorbiaceae. The record is from RNAcentral.
CUUCUUAUUAACAAUUCAGCUGUGCUAUCCAGAUUUGCUGAGUCUGAUGCCUUUGGGUCACCAUAAGGACGGAUUUCAUUUUCACGACCAUUCCAAACAGGAGAUUCCAAUGAACUUUCUCGAGAGCAUCCAGUUCAAGUUACCCUGUAUGGUAUUAAUCUCUCCAUUAUGACCAAGAAACCGCAUUGGUUGAGCUAGAGGCCAUCUUGGACUCGUAUUUGUGCUAUACCUUCGAUGAUAAAUGGCAAAGGGUGAUUUAUAAAGAUCACUCUGAAGGUCAGAGUAAAACAAUCCAAGAACUUCAGAGCGAAGCAUUCCCUUAUAAAUAAUUGUUUGAUUAGACAAAGAACAGAUGUAAAGCUCAUCACCCCAACUUUCUAAGGUAGCGGCCCUCUCGAUCAGCUUCCGACAGAUGUAGAAUUCUCGUUCAAUAUCAUCAACAUUCUCUUCCUUAACAACUCUAACAAAUACCUGCUGUAUGUUGGGCAUGGUUUCUUUUGCAUAAUAACCAACUACAGACUUAUUUACAGGAACAGGCCUCCAUCCAAGCACCUCAAGGCCUUCUUGUUUAAAAGUAUUUACGACAACUUUUUGGGCUUCUUUCAUGAAGUUAUCAUCCUUGGGGAGGAAAACCAUCCCAACACCCGUGUGCAAUUUAUCAAAAGGUGCAAUUCCUUGCUUGUCAGCCCAGUUGUUAAAUAGAUCCCAUGGAAUUGAAGUCAUCAAUCCUGAUCCAUCGCCGGAGUCAUUGUCUGCUCCACAACCACCACGAUGUUCCAUACAGCCAAGAGCUGUAAGAGCAUCCUUAACUAUCUGAUGUGAUGCUUUAUUUUCCAAAUUAGCAAUAAACCCAACUCCACAAGCUCCUCUUUCUGAUAUUAUGUCAUCCAAGUUAGCAACCUUGGGUUUCAAAUCAGGUUGAGGAACUGAUUCAGUACCACGAGUUGCUCUAACUGAACACGAGUUUCUACUUACAAAUCGAGACAAACUAGUUCGUGCUAUUGACGGAGUAGAAGAGACACCAACACCGAUUCUCCUUCUACCUCUCUUGGAUUUAGAAUAUAACCCCACAAAAUCAGCAAAUAAGAGACUUUUGCUGUUAUUAUUAUUAGUGUAAGCAAGAACUGAACACGGUGCCUUCGUAGACGAACCAUUGGAGGUGGCGGGGGCAGCGGUGGAGGAAGAG